This 532-nucleotide long non-coding RNA is filed under the name Homo sapiens (human). RNAcentral describes it as "HSALNT0015815". The record is from RNAcentral. Lineage: Eukaryota; Metazoa; Chordata; Mammalia; Primates; Hominidae.
GUAGUAAUUUAUUGUUACACACACACACACACACACACACACACACACACACACACACACACUAGGUUAACAUCAACCACCGCACCAUCCAGGCACUCCCCAGCCACCACGUGUGGGCACAAAGACACACACACCCCUCUUGGUAGGCAGAUUUCCCUGUCUGCUCCCCUCUUCCUGUGGGAGAGGCAUGCCUUCUGGGCAGUUUAAAGGUGGGAAAAAACUAAGUCCAUCCCUUAUGACUGUCUCGGGCCCCAAAGGUGAAGGGCAGCUCCGGCAAGGGGAGAACUCCGAUUGAUUGGAGUCCCUGUUGGGGCAGUAGCAGGGUUCCACCCACCGCGGUCCUAGGCCUGGGGGCGAAGUCCAGGCCUGGCCACAAGGUUCAAAGAUGUGUCAGACCCAAGCCGCUACCCCCUACUCCGAGGGCGAGGGCGGAGAGGCUCAGCCCCAGGGGCGGGGCCUGUAGUCGGAGGCCGAGCGGGCGUGGUCCGGGUAGUCCAGGCGGCUCUCGGUGGCAGUGAGCAUGCGCUCCGGC